GCAGGCCCUAACCACACAUGCAGACCCCUCCUUACCCGCUGCACCUCACACUCCCGCUGCUCAGCAUGAGGGACGCCUAGGGCAGGCUUGGCAGGAAGGUGAGGCCUGGGACUGGUGAGGCUGGGGCAAGGGUUUAGCGGGAAGUUGAGCCCUGGGGUUGGUGAGGCUGGAGCGGGCUUGCCGGAAGGUGAGGCCUAGCAUGAGCUUGGCGGGAAGGUGAGGCCUGGGGUUAGCGAGGCCGGCACGUGCUCAUGCCUCAACUGCCCAGGGGAGGAGGCCGAGGUCAUGGUAGGAGGCACCUCACCUGCUGAGGACAGAGACAAAGCAGCUCUCUCUGCUGGACAUAAAGCAUGGCCGACUGCCAUGCUCUGGUCAGCAGGCGGAAGGAUCCAGAGAGCAGGGUGUGCAGCCUCAUUGCCCGCCAGAGGUCACAGAAUCUUGCACAUGAUAACCCAACCCGGAACCCUUGCUGUGCACCCCCAACUACAGUACCCAGAAUUCUUGGCCUUACAGCCCACACCCAGGACUACAGUACCCAUUAGACUGCCUGCCCCAAUCAUAGAACUACACUACCCAGAAUCCUUGGUGUGAC
This 592-nucleotide long non-coding RNA is filed under the name Heterocephalus glaber (naked mole-rat). Its description in RNAcentral is "lncRNA (ENSHGLG00000035106.1)". The record is from RNAcentral. Lineage: Eukaryota; Metazoa; Chordata; Mammalia; Rodentia; Bathyergidae.